RNAcentral lists this ribosomal RNA (484 nucleotides) under uncultured bacterium. RNAcentral's name for it is "partial 16S ribosomal RNA". It matches the Rfam family "Bacterial small subunit ribosomal RNA", at positions 30 to 507 of the family's 1533-position model. The record is from RNAcentral.
AUUGAACGCUGGCGGCAGGCCUAACACAUGCAAGUCGAGCGGAUGAAGGGAGCUUGCUCCUGGAUUCAGCGGCGGACGGGUGAGUAAUGCCUAGGAAUCUGCCUGGUAGUGGGGGAUAACGUCCGGAAACGGGCGCUAAUACCGCAUACGUCCUGAGGGAGAAAGUGGGGGAUCUUCGGACCUCACGCUAUCAGAUGAGCCUAGGUCGGAUUAGCUAGUUGGUGGGGUAAAGGCCUACCAAGGCGACGAUCCGUAACUGGUCUGAGAGGAUGAUCAGUCACACUGGAACUGAGACACGGUCCAGACUCCUACGGGAGGCAGCAGUGGGGAAUAUUGGACAAUGGGCGAAAGCCUGAUCCAGCCAUGCCGCGUGUGUGAAGAAGGUCUUUGGAUUGUAAAGCACUUUAAGUUGGGAGGAAGGGCAGUAAGUUAAUACCUUGCUGUUUUGACGUUACCAACAGAAUAAGCAACGGCUAACUUCGUG